Molecule: ribosomal RNA, 468 nt
Filed under: uncultured bacterium
Lineage: Bacteria
Description: partial 16S ribosomal RNA
Rfam family: Bacterial small subunit ribosomal RNA
Source: RNAcentral
GACGAACGCUGGCGGCGUGCUUAACACAUGCAAGUCGAACGGAAAGGCCCUGCUUUUGUGGGGUGCUCGAGUGGCGAACGGGUGAGUAACACGUGAGUAACCUGCCCUUGACUUUGGGAUAACUUCAGGAAACUGGGGCUAAUACCGGAUAGGAGCUCCUGCUGCAUGGUGGGGGUUGGAAAGUUUCGGCGGUUGGGGAUGGACUCGCGGCUUAUCAGCUUGUUGGUGGGGUAGUGGCUUACCAAGGCUUUGACGGGUAGCCGGCCUGAGAGGGUGACCGGCCACAUUGGGACUGAGAGACGGCCCAGACUCCUACGGGAGGCAGAAGGGGGGAAUAUUGCACAAUGGGCGGAAGCCUGAUGCAGCAACGCCGCGUGCGGGAUGACGGCCUUCGGGUUGUAAACCGCUUUCGCCUGUGACGAAGCGUGAGUGACGGGAAUGGGUAAAGAAGCACCGGCUAACUACGUG